The sequence is a small nuclear RNA, 107 nucleotides long. Its record names the gene U5. It matches the Rfam family "U5 spliceosomal RNA". Rfam says of the family: U5 RNA is a component of both types of known spliceosome. The precise function of this molecule is unknown, though it is known that the 5' loop is required for splice site selection and p220 binding, and that both the 3' stem-loop and the Sm site are important for Sm protein binding and cap methylation. The record is from Ensembl.
CGCUCAGGUUUCUCUUCAGAUCGCAUAAAUCUUUCGCCUUUACUAAAGAUUUCCGUGGAGAGGAACAAUAUGAGUUUCAACUAAUCUUGCUCUGCCGUAAGGUUGGG